Ameiurus melas (black bullhead) is the source of this 71-nucleotide non-coding RNA. Lineage: Eukaryota; Metazoa; Chordata; Actinopteri; Siluriformes; Ictaluridae. The record is from the annotation of a GenBank genome assembly.
GCAUUAGUGAUUCAGUGGUAGAAUUCUCGCCUGCCAUGUGCGAAGCCUGAGUUUGAUUCCUGGCCAAUGCA